GGUCAUCAGUAUACGAACAGAGUUUCUAAUUCGGUACGUACACGUUCAUACUUGGUUAAACUUGACACUUUGAAGCUUACCGAGUGAUUUAGUCAAUAUCAAACAAACUACCAUGCACGAUGAGCUUAUUGGCAUCAUUAAGAUCUCGAUUAUGCACGUUGUUUGGGGCUGAAGACCCUCCCCGCGUAAAUAAUCUAUUUUCCGACUGCGCCCGAGACGAGCGACUAGGCUACUAAGUACUAUUGAGCUGCCUAGCGUGCCGGAAGCACGGCCGCUGCGUAGUAAGUUUAAAGACGGGAUAGUUGAAAGCUACCAUCCUAUCCCCGGAUGGUACCACCACUGCCCACUGCCUCUUAAUCCCAAGCUAAGGCCUCUCCCUCGGACUCUUUGCCGAUGGUGUAGGUUCCUUCCGUCGUCCGCGCGUUUAAUGGGUUAGGACUGUGCCCCUCCAUCACUGUUAUUUAUUGUUAUGGCCCGCGUAAUCACAGACCAUUAACCUUACUCAUGUUAGAUUUAGGGAAUUGCUCCUAGGUAACCUCCCGUUCAGACCACGGUCGUCGGCGCCAUUAAGGUCGAGGUUAUCGCAUAUAAAUUCAACAACGUCAAUUUUUCGAGCAUCAACCUGGAACCCGGCCCAGCCGGCCAGGCGGAGUGCCGCUCGUGGCUGGAUGAGCUGGGAAGCCGGCCGUAGCGCGAGGAUCGGAAUUCACCGGCCCAGCACAAAGGCCGUAGCAAUGAAACUUCUUUAAUCUCACGAGUUUCGUUCGGUAGCGAGACCUAUGUAAUCGUACCCUAUUGUAGUAUCCUAAGGCCAGGAUAACACAACCGGAAGCCCUAGCCUCAUUACUAAUUAUCCCUGUCAGCCCCCGUAAGCAUAAAGUAUCAGUCUCCACUUUAAGAACCUAAAUACCUUCUGCUUGUUGACGCUUUCGUAAACGGUUCCUACAAAAGUAAUUAGUUCUUGCU
RNAcentral lists this ribosomal RNA (966 nucleotides) under Triticum aestivum (bread wheat). RNAcentral describes it as "partial small subunit ribosomal RNA". The record is from RNAcentral. Lineage: Eukaryota; Viridiplantae; Streptophyta; Magnoliopsida; Poales; Poaceae.